Molecule: non-coding RNA, 22 nt
Filed under: Arabidopsis thaliana (thale cress)
Lineage: Eukaryota; Viridiplantae; Streptophyta; Magnoliopsida; Brassicales; Brassicaceae
Source: RNAcentral
UAUGGGUCUGAAGCAUUGUCCA